AUGAUACCCCAACCUGAGAACUGCAAGCUCAUGAAUCCUAGCUCAAAUAUGUCUUCCAUGGAGGAGCCUCUGCUGCCUCUAUUCCAGCGUAAUCAGAAGUACUCUUCCUCCAAGCAAGACAGAAGCAAAUCAUGCGAUGUCCCAAACAGGUGUGCACCUUCCUUUCAUCCAGACACUAAUGUCAAAGCUAGCCUCAGUACUCGCAAUCAUCCUCCAGCCACUAAUGAAAACACCGAUAUAGUAUCCACGCCGACUUUACAGCGGGUGCGUUCUUCACCUUCUAUAUUCACAUCAAUCAAAGAAGCUCCCUGUGCACAUGAGCUUGGCAAGCAAAGCCCUUCUGCACAAUACACACCAUCAAUUACAAGGCAGGCUAUUGUUAGUGUCAUCCUAUACAUCUCAAUAGGAGUCACGGUGUACAUGACAAAUGUUGAAGGCUUCAAGGGGAAAUCCACGUUUAAGUUAGUGGAUGCCCUGUACUUCACCAUCAUAAGCUUGUGCACCAUUGGGUAUGGUGACAUAGUCCCUUGCACUACCUUCACAAAGGUGUUCACAUGCUUGUUUCUACUAAUAGGUGUUCGCUUUGUUGACAUUAUGCUAAAUGGACUGUUGACAAAUGUGCUAGACAAGCAGAGAACAGUCCUACUUAGCACAAUGGAUGACAAUAAGCUGAACAGGGUAUUUGACACGUACAUGAUCGAUGCUGCAAAGAAAAGGUCAAGAGGGAAGAUGAAAGUACUACUUGCACUAGGCGUUGUUGCAGGGACUAUCUCAAUUUGUACAAUCAUAGUACAUGAGGUGGAGGGCCUAAAUUGGAUUGACAGCUUCUAUUUAUCAGUCAUUUCUGUGACAACAGUUGGAUAUGGGGAUUAUGGCUUCUCAACUACAGCUGGAAGGCUCUCCGCGACCGUGUGUCUGUUGGUGAGCACGUUGGCAGUUGGCAAGGCAUUCUUGUUCCUAACGGAUCUAAGGAUGGACAGAAGGAACCGACGAACUACAAAAUGGAUCCUCCAGAAGAAAAUGGACAAUGAGCCACCUGCUGCAGACCUUGAUAACGAUGCAGCUGUAAGCAAAUCAGACUUUAUGAUCUACAAGCUGAAAGAGAUGGGGAAGAUCGAUGAGAAAGAUGUCACGAUGAUCUCAGACCAGUUUGAUCAGCUAGGCCUUGCAAAAUGUGGAAAUGUUGCUCUUGCUGACAUAAUUGGAAACUUAUGA
This 1215-nucleotide ribosomal RNA is filed under the name Triticum aestivum (bread wheat). Its description in RNAcentral is "partial small subunit ribosomal RNA". The record is from RNAcentral. Lineage: Eukaryota; Viridiplantae; Streptophyta; Magnoliopsida; Poales; Poaceae.